UACGGGGGGAGCAAGCGUUGUUCGGAUUUACUGGGCGUAAAGGGCGCGUAGGCGGCCUCUGCAAGUCGACUGUGAAAUCUCCGGGCUUAACCCGGAAAGGUCAGCCGAUACUGCAGGGCUAGAGUACGGAAGAGGCGAGUGGAAUUCCUGGUGUAGCGGUGAAAUGCGCAGAUAUCAAGGAGGAACACCUAUUGCGAAGGCAGCUCGCUGGGACGUAACUGACGCUGGAGACGCGAAAAGCGUGGGGAGCAAA
This 253-nucleotide ribosomal RNA is filed under the name uncultured bacterium. Its description in RNAcentral is "partial 16S ribosomal RNA". It matches the Rfam family "Bacterial small subunit ribosomal RNA", at positions 524 to 772 of the family's 1533-position model. The record is from RNAcentral.